UGGGGUGGCUAAUGGGGCUCGAACCCACGACAACUGGAAUCACAAUCCAGGGCUCUACCAACUGAGCUAUAGCCAC
RNAcentral lists this transfer RNA (76 nucleotides) under Yersinia intermedia ATCC 29909. Its description in RNAcentral is "tRNA-His". RNAcentral also lists the same sequence under 3 other names. Lineage: Bacteria; Pseudomonadati; Pseudomonadota; Gammaproteobacteria; Enterobacterales; Yersiniaceae. The record is from RNAcentral.